UACGCACGCUGGCGGCGUGCCUAAUACAUGCAAGUCGAACGCACAGUUUAUACCGUAGCUUGCUACACCAUAGACUGUGAGUUGCGAACGGGUGAGUAACGCGUAGGUAACCUGCCUGGUAGCGGGGGAUAACUAUUGGACACGAUAGCUAAUACCUCAUAAUAUUAAUUAUUGCAUGAUAAUUAAUUGAAAGGUGCAAUUGCACCACUACCAGAUGGACCUGCGUUGUAUUAGCUAGUAGGUGAGGUAACGGCUCACCUAGGCGACGAUACAUAGCCGACCUGAGAGGGGGGUCGGACACACUGGAACUGAAACACGGCCCAGACUCCUACGGGAGGCAGCAGUAGGGAAUCUUCGGCAAUGGACGAAAGUCUUACCGAGCAACGGCGCGGGAGGGAAUAAAGUUGUCGGAUCGGAAAGCUCUGUUGUAAGUGGAGAAAGGGUGUGAGAAGGGAAAGUGCACGUUGUGACGGUACCUGACCAGAAAGGGACGGCUAACUACGUG
RNAcentral lists this ribosomal RNA (505 nucleotides) under uncultured bacterium. Its description in RNAcentral is "partial 16S ribosomal RNA". It matches the Rfam family "Bacterial small subunit ribosomal RNA", at positions 29 to 507 of the family's 1533-position model. The record is from RNAcentral.